UACGGAGGAUCCAAGCGUUAUCCGGAAUUAUUGGGUUUAAAGGGUCCGUAGGCGGUUUAGUAAGUCAGUGGUGAAAGCCCAUCGCUCAACGGUGGAACGGCCAUUGAUACUGCUGAACUUGAAUUAUUAGGAAGUAACUAGAAUAUGUAGUGUAGCGGUGAAAUGCUUAGAGAUUACAUGGAAUACCAAUUGCGAAGGCAGGUUACUACUAAUUGAUUGACGCUGAUGGACGAAAGCGUGGGGAGCGAACAGG
This 253-nucleotide ribosomal RNA is filed under the name uncultured Flavobacterium sp. RNAcentral describes it as "partial 16S ribosomal RNA". It matches the Rfam family "Bacterial small subunit ribosomal RNA", at positions 524 to 776 of the family's 1533-position model. Lineage: Bacteria; Pseudomonadati; Bacteroidota; Flavobacteriia; Flavobacteriales; Flavobacteriaceae. The record is from RNAcentral.